This 460-nucleotide ribosomal RNA is filed under the name uncultured bacterium. RNAcentral describes it as "partial 16S ribosomal RNA". It matches the Rfam family "Bacterial small subunit ribosomal RNA", at positions 338 to 795 of the family's 1533-position model. The record is from RNAcentral.
CCUACGGGUGGCAGCAGUGAGGAAUAUUGGUCAAUGGACGCAAGUCUGAACCAGCCAUGCCGCGUGCAGGAUGACGGCUCUAUGAGUUGUAAACUGCUUUUGUACGAGGGUAAAGCGCGACACGUGUAUCGGGUUGAAUGUAUCUUACGAAUAAGGAUCGGCUAACUCCGUGCCAGCAGCCGCGGUAAUACGGAGGAUCCGAGCGUUAUCCGGAUUUAUUGGGUUUAACGGGUGCGUAGGCGGUUUGGUAAGUUAGGGGUGAAAGGUCGGGGCUCAACCCGGAAACUGCCUUUGAUACUGUUGGACUGGAGAAUAGUAGAGGGAGGCGGAAUGCAUGGUGUAGCGGUGAAAUGCUUAGAGAUCAUACAGAACACCGAUUGCGAAGGCAGCUUACCAGACGAUGACUGACGUUGAGGCACGAAAGCGUGGGUAGCAAACAGGAUUAGAUACCCGAGUAGUC